UACGUAGGUGGCGAGCGUUGUCCGGAUUUACUGGGCGUAAAGGAUGCGUAGGCGGAUAUUUAAGUGAGAUGUGAAAUACCCGAGCUUAACCUGGAUGCUGCAUUUCAAACUGGAUAUCUAGAGUGUGGGAGAGGAGAAUGGAAUUCCUAGUGUAGCGGUGAAAUGCGUAGAGAUUAGGAAGAACACCAGUGGCGAAGGCGAUUCUCUGGACCAUAACUGACGCUGAGGCAUGAAAGCGUGGGUAGCAAACAGG
Molecule: ribosomal RNA, 253 nt
Filed under: uncultured bacterium
Lineage: Bacteria
Description: partial 16S ribosomal RNA
Rfam family: Bacterial small subunit ribosomal RNA
Source: RNAcentral